This 167-nucleotide small RNA is filed under the name Anser brachyrhynchus (Pink-footed goose). RNAcentral describes it as "TUC338 (ENSABRG00000011034.1)". Lineage: Eukaryota; Metazoa; Chordata; Aves; Anseriformes; Anatidae. The record is from RNAcentral.
UUGACAGCCUCAAAGACUGAAGUGCUCUAUUAAAUGACAGUACAGGUACAUCACCCGCAGUGGCUGCACACAUUUUUUCCCACGCUGUCUCAAUAAUAAGCAUCAAAUGCAUUUGUUUGGAGACUGAGGGUUGUUAUUCUUUUGUCCUGCUCAUUUAACUCUCAGAA